This 1431-nucleotide ribosomal RNA is filed under the name uncultured organism. Its description in RNAcentral is "SSU rRNA". It matches the Rfam family "Bacterial small subunit ribosomal RNA". The record is from RNAcentral.
CACAUGCAAGUCGAGGGGCAGCAUGCCUCUUAGCUUGCUAAGGCCGAUGGCGACCGGCGCACGGGUGAGUAACGCGUAUCCAACCUGCCUUACACUCUUGGACAGCCUUCUGAAAGGGAGAUUAAUACAAGAUGUUAUCAUGAGUAAGCAUUUUCGCAUGAUUAAAGGUUUACCGGUGUAAGAUGGGGAUGCGUUCCAUUAGAUAGUAGGCGGGGUAACGGCCCACCUAGUCUUCGAUGGAUAGGGGUUCUGAGAGGAAGGUCCCCCACAUUGGAACUGAGACACGGUCCAAACUCCUACGGGAGGCAGCAGUGAGGAAUAUUGGUCAAUGGACGAGAGUCUGAACCAGCCAAGUAGCGUGAAGGAUGAAGGUUCUAUGGAUUGUAAACUUCUUUUAUACGGGAAUAAACGGAUUCACGUGUGGAUUUUUGCAUGUACCGUAUGAAUAAGGAUCGGCUAACUCCGUGCCAGCAGCCGCGGUAAUACGGAGGAUCCGAGCGUUAUCCGGAUUUAUUGGGUUUAAAGGGAGCGUAGAUGGGUUGUUAAGUCAGUUGUGAAAGUUUGCGGCUCAACCGUAAAAUUGCAAUUGAUACUGGCAGUCUUGAGUACAGUUGAGGUAGGCGGAAUUCGUGGUGUAGCGGUGAAAUGCUUAGAUAUCACGAAGAACUCCGAUUGCGAAGGCAGCUUACUAACCUGUAACUGACAUUGAUGCUCGAAAGUGUGGGUAUCAAACAGGAUUAGAUACCCUGGUAGUCCACACGGUAAACGAUGAAUACUCGCUGUAGGCGAUAUACAGUCUGCGGCCAAGCGAAAGCAUUAAGUAUUCCACCUGGGGAGUACGCCGGCAACGGUGAAACUCAAAGGAAUUGACGGGGGCCCGCACAAGCGGAGGAACAUGUGGUUUAAUUCGAUGAUACGCGAGGAACCUUACCCGGGCUUAAAUUGCAACCGAAUAUGGCGGAAACGCUAUAGCUAGCAAUAGCGGUUGUGAAGGUGCUGCAUGGUUGUCGUCAGCUCGUGCCGUGAGGUGUCGGCUUAAGUGCCAUAACGAGCGCAACCCUUGCCGAUAGUUACUAACAGGUUAUGCUGAGGACUCUGUCGGGACUGCCAUCGUAAGAUGUGAGGAAGGUGGGGAUGACGUCAAAUCAGCACGGCCCUUACGUCCGGGGCUACACACGUGUUACAAUGGGGGGUACAGAGGGCUGCUACCACGCAAGUGGAUGCCAAUCCCAAAAACCUCUCUCAGUUCGGAUUGAAGUCUGCAACCCGACUUCAUGAAGCUGGAUUCGCUAGUAAUCGCGCAUCAGCCACGGCGCGGUGAAUACGUUCCCGGGCCUUGUACACACCGCCCGUCAAGCCAUGGGAGCCGGGGGUACCUGAAGUGCGUAAACGCAAGGAGCGCCCUAGGGUAAAACUGGUGACUGGGGCUAA